RNAcentral lists this transfer RNA (67 nucleotides) under Mytilus californianus (California mussel). RNAcentral describes it as "tRNA-Trp". Lineage: Eukaryota; Metazoa; Mollusca; Bivalvia; Mytilida; Mytilidae. The record is from RNAcentral.
AAGAAAGUAAUUUAAGCUAAAAUAUUUUGUUUCAAACAUAACGAUAGGUAAUCUUACCUCUUUCUUG